UAGAGUGGCAUGUAGGUAAGGAGAUUUGAGUGAUGCAUUCUUACUACUUUGUUAGUUUUAUCGAUUGCAUAAUGAAUUGAUGUUGUGGUAGAUGUUACUUUGGGGAUAUGAGCGCAGAUAAUCAUUGCCGCCAAAUACCGCGGGAGCGUUGCUGAGAACUGAGAAUAUGCUGUACCGACUAAUAUGGUGUGACUGGAUUAUUGCCUGACUGUGGCCUGACCAUCUUGUCGAAAUAGUGGAUGUGAAAGGUUUGCAGUGUGAUUGCUGUGAGCUUGGCUGCUGUGAGAACACUUUGGCUUCUAGGCCCUUCUUUCACUUUCUUAGGCAACCUGUGGCCACCUAGGGCCAGUUUUCUUUUAUUUCUUUUUCCUUAUUUUGUGGGCAUUUACAUCCAAGGGUAUGUGAUAUGUUUUAACAUGUUUGCCUUGUCUUUAAUAAAAAUGU
Molecule: long non-coding RNA, 444 nt
Organism: Puntigrus tetrazona (Sumatra barb)
Lineage: Eukaryota; Metazoa; Chordata; Actinopteri; Cypriniformes; Cyprinidae
Exons: 3
Source: RefSeq, a predicted model, not a curated record